UACGUAGGGUGCAAGCGUUAAUCGGAAUUACUGGGCGUAAAGCGUGCGCAGGCGGUUUUGUAAGUCAGAUGUGAAAUCCCCGGGCUUAACCUGGGAACUGCGUUUGAAACUACAAGGCUAGAGUGUGACAGAGGGGGGUGGAAUUCCACGUGUAGCAGUGAAAUGCGUAGAGAUGUGGAGGAACACCGAUGGCGAAGGCAGCCCCCUGGGUCAAUACUGACGCUCAUGCACGAAAGCGUGGGGAGCAAACAGG
This 253-nucleotide ribosomal RNA is filed under the name uncultured bacterium. Its description in RNAcentral is "partial 16S ribosomal RNA". It matches the Rfam family "Bacterial small subunit ribosomal RNA", at positions 524 to 776 of the family's 1533-position model. The record is from RNAcentral.